Molecule: ribosomal RNA, 254 nt
Filed under: uncultured bacterium
Lineage: Bacteria
Description: partial 16S ribosomal RNA
Rfam family: Bacterial small subunit ribosomal RNA
Source: RNAcentral
UACGUAGGGGGCAAGCGUUGUCCGGAAUCAUUGGGCGUAAAGGGCGCGUAGGUGGCGGGACAAGCGUGCGGUGAAAGCCUGGGGCUCAACCCCGGGUCGGCCGUGCGAACUGUUUUGCUUGAGCACUGUAGAGGCAGGCGGAAUUCCGGGUGUAGCGGUGGAAUGCGUAGAGAUCCGGAAGAACACCGGGUGGCGAAGGCGGCCUGCUGGGCAGUAGCUGACACUGAGGCGCGACAGCGUGGGGAGCAAACAGG